AGCUUCUGCUGAGGGCCUGUUUUCUAAGCCUCACACUAGAGACUUGUUCAUUACUCUUUUGUCUAAGGGAAAGUCCCUGGACCUAGGUCAGAGAGUGCCAUGUGGCUAUACACGUUGACAAUCCCAUUUUCCAUAUGAAGUCUCCAAGAAGCUAAUAGGCAUAGCAGGAGCAGUAUGGUGAAGGGAUAUCACCCUCAGCUCUUCUAGUUACAUAGGCAGUACACCUUCCUGCAUGCACCAACCACAAAGGGCUUAUUCUCAGUGUGGC
Cebus imitator (Panamanian white-faced capuchin) is the source of this 268-nucleotide ribozyme. It matches the Rfam family "RNase MRP". From Rfam's summary of the family: RNase MRP is an enzymatically active ribonucleoprotein with two distinct roles in eukaryotes. In mitochondria it plays a direct role in the initiation of mitochondrial DNA replication. NCBI's taxonomy places the organism in Eukaryota, Metazoa, Chordata, Mammalia, Primates, Cebidae. The record is from Ensembl.